CCUACGGGAGGCAGCAGUGAGGAAUAUUGGUCAAUGGGCGAGAGCCUGAACCAGCCAAGUCGCGUGAGGGAAGACGGUCCUAUGGAUUGUAAACCUCUUUUGCCGGGGAGCAAAAAGCGGUACGUGUACCGCAUCGAGAGUACCCGGAGAAAAAGCAUCGGCUAACUCCGUGCCAGCAGCCGCGGUAAUACGGAGGAUGCGAGCGUUAUCCGGAUUUAUUGGGAUUAAAGGGUGCGCAGGCGGCGAGUUAAGUCAGCGGUAAAAUUUCGGGGCUCAACCCCGACAAGCCGUUGAAACUGGCGUGCUAGAGUGGGCGAGAAGUAUGCGGAAUGCGUGGUGUAGCGGUGAAAUGCAUAGAUAUCACGCAGAACUCCGAUUGCGAAGGCAGCAUACCGGCGCCCAACUGACGCUCAGGCACGAAAGCGUGGGUAUCGAACAGGAUUAGAUACCCCGGUAGUC
This 459-nucleotide ribosomal RNA is filed under the name uncultured bacterium. RNAcentral's name for it is "partial 16S ribosomal RNA". It matches the Rfam family "Bacterial small subunit ribosomal RNA", at positions 338 to 795 of the family's 1533-position model. The record is from RNAcentral.